AUACGGAGGAUGCAAGCGUUAUCCGGAUUUAUUGGGUUUAAAGGGUGCGUAGGCGGUUUGCUAAGCGGGAGGUGAAAUGCCGGCGCUCAACGUCGGAAGUGCCUCCCGAACUGGUGGACUUGAAUGACUCUGCCGUGGGAGGAAUGUGUAGUGUAGCGGUGAAAUGCGUAGAGAUUACACAGAACACCGAUUGCGAAGGCAUCUCACGAAGGGUUGAUUGACGCUGAGGCACGAAAGCGUGGGGAUCAAACAGGAUUAGAUACCCUGGUAGUCCACGCAGUAAACGAUGAUGGCUAACCGCUGGGCUUAUCAGUUCAGUGGCCAAGCGAAAGCGAUAAGCCAUCCACCUGGGGAGUACGACCGCAAGGUUGAAACUCAAAUGAAUUGACGGGG
This 393-nucleotide ribosomal RNA is filed under the name uncultured bacterium. RNAcentral describes it as "partial 16S ribosomal RNA". It matches the Rfam family "Bacterial small subunit ribosomal RNA", at positions 523 to 918 of the family's 1533-position model. The record is from RNAcentral.